CACAAGCAGUGGAGUAUGUGGAUUAAUUCGAUGAUACGCGAGGAACCUUACCCGGGCUUGAAUUGCAGCGGAAUAAUGUGGAAACACAUUAGUCUUCGGACCGCUGUGAAGGUGCUGCAUGGUUGUCGUCAGCUCGUGCCGUGAGGUGUUAGGUUAAGUCCUGCAACGAGCGCAACCCUUACACUUAGUUGCCAGCACGUUAAGGUGGGAACUCUAAGUGAACUGCCUACGCAAGUAGAGAGGAAGGUGGGGAUGACGUCAAAUCAGCACGGCCCUUAUGUUCGGGGCUACACACGUGCUACAAUGGUCGGUACAGAGGGCAGCUACCCCGCGAGGGGAUGCGAAUCUCGAAAGCCGAUCUCAGUUCGGAUCGGAGUCUGUAACUCGACUCCGUGAAGUUGGAUUCGCUAGUAAUCGCACAUCAGCCAUGGUGCGGUGAAUACGUUCCCGGGCCUUGUACACACCGCCCGUCAAGCCAUGGAAGCCUGUGGUACCUAAAGUCCGUGCCCGCAAGGAGCGGCCUAGGGUAAAACCGGUAACUGGGGCUAAGUCGUAACAAGGUAGCCGUA
This 569-nucleotide ribosomal RNA is filed under the name uncultured Bacteroidota bacterium. RNAcentral describes it as "bacterial SSU rRNA". It matches the Rfam family "Bacterial small subunit ribosomal RNA", at positions 924 to 1504 of the family's 1533-position model. Lineage: Bacteria; Pseudomonadati; Bacteroidota. The record is from RNAcentral.